UCUGGCUCAGGACGAACGCUGGCGGCGUGCUUAACACAUGCAAGUCGAACGGUAAGGCCCUUUCGGGGGUACACGAGUGGCGAACGGGUGAGUAACACGUGGGUAAUCUGCCCUGCACUUCGGGAUAAGCCUGGGAAACUGGGUCUAAUACCGGAUAGGAACUUCUGCCGCAUGGUGGGGGUUGGAAAGUUUUUCGGUGCAGGAUGAGCCCGCGGCCUAUCAGCUUGUUGGUGGGGUAAUGGCCUACCAAGGCGACGACGGGUAGCCGGCCUGAGAGGGUGAUCGGCCACACUGGGACUGAGACACGGCCCAGACUCCUACGGGAGGCAGCAGUGGGGAAUAUUGCACAAUGGGCGGAAGCCUGAUGCAGCGACGCCGCGUGGGGGAUGACGGUCUUCGGAUUGUAAACCCCUUUCAGUAGGGACGAAGCGCAAGUGACGGUACCUGCAGAAGAAGCACCGGCCAACUACGUGCCAGCAGCCGCGGUAAUACGUAGGGUGCGAGCGUUGUCCGGAAUUACUGGGCGUAAAGAGCUCGUAGGCGGUUUGUCGCGUCGUCUGUGAAAUCCUCCAGCUUAACUGGGGGCGUGCAGGCGAUACGGGCAGACUUGAGUACUACAGGGGAGACUGGAAUUCCUGGUGUAGCGGUGAAAUGCGCAGAUAUCAGGAGGAACACCGGUGGCGAAGGCGGGUCUCUGGGUAGUAACUGACGCUGAGGAGCGAAAGCAUGGGUAGCGAACAGGAUUAGAUACCCUGGUAGUCCAUGCCGUAAACGGUGGGCGCUAGGUGUGGGGGUCUUCCACGACUUCCGUGCCGUAGCUAACGCAUUAAGCGGCCCCCC
RNAcentral lists this ribosomal RNA (840 nucleotides) under Dietzia sp. Its description in RNAcentral is "bacterial SSU rRNA". It matches the Rfam family "Bacterial small subunit ribosomal RNA", at positions 18 to 873 of the family's 1533-position model. Lineage: Bacteria; Bacillati; Actinomycetota; Actinomycetes; Mycobacteriales; Dietziaceae. The record is from RNAcentral.